CGGCGUGGAUUAGGCAUGCAAGUCGAGCGAGAAGUCUUAGAUUGAAGCUUCGGCCGAGUUUCUAAGAUGGACAGCGGCGAAAGGGAGAGUAACGCGUGGGUUAUCUACCUCCGGGUUCGGGAUAGCUGCGGGAAACUGCAGGUAAUACCGUAUAACGUCUUUGGACCAAAGGUGUGAUUCCGCCUGGAGAUGAGCCCGCGUCCUAUUAGCUUGUUGGUGAGGUAACGGCUCACCAAGGCUUCUAUGGGUACCGGGUGUGAGAGCAUGGCCCGGCUCACUGGGACUGAGACACUGCCCAGACACCUACGGGUGGCUGCAGUCGAGAAUCUUCCGCAAUGGGCGCAAGCCUGACGGAGCGACGCCGCGUGCGGGAUUAAGGCCUUCGGGUUGUAAACCGCUGUCAGAGAGGCGGAAAUGCGUAGGGGCUAUCCCCUAUGUUUGACCUAAUCUCAGAGGAAGUGCAGGCUAAGUUCGUG
Molecule: ribosomal RNA, 476 nt
Filed under: uncultured bacterium
Lineage: Bacteria
Description: bacterial SSU rRNA
Rfam family: Bacterial small subunit ribosomal RNA
Source: RNAcentral